This 554-nucleotide ribosomal RNA is filed under the name uncultured bacterium. RNAcentral's name for it is "partial 16S ribosomal RNA". It matches the Rfam family "Bacterial small subunit ribosomal RNA", at positions 355 to 900 of the family's 1533-position model. The record is from RNAcentral.
UAGGGAAUCUUCCACAAUGGACGAAAGUCUGAUGGAGCAACGCCGCGUGAGUGAAGAAGGUUUUCGGAUCGUAAAGCUCUGUUGUUGGUGAAGAAGGAUAGAGGCAGUAACUGGUCUUUAUUUGACGGUAAUCAACCAGAAAGUCACGGCUAACUACGUGCCAGCAGCCGCGGUAAUACGUAGGUGGCAAGCGUUGUCCGGAUUUAUUGGGCGUAAAGCGAGCGCAGGCGGAAUGAUAAGUCUGAUGUGAAAGCCCACGGCUCAACCGUGGAACUGCAUCGGAAACUGUCAUUCUUGAGUGCAGAAGAGGAGAGUGGAACUCCAUGUGUAGCGGUGGAAUGCGUAGAUAUAUGGAAGAACACCAGUGGCGAAGGCGGCUCUCUGGUCUGCAACUGACGCUGAGGCUCGAAAGCAUGGGUAGCGAACAGGAUUAGAUACCCUGGUAGUCCAUGCCGUAAACGAUGAGCGCUAGGUGUUGGGGACUUUCUGGUCCUCAGUGCCGCAGCAAACGCAUUAAGCGCUCCGCCUGGGGAGUACGACCGCAAGGUUGAAAC